UAUUAAAGUUGUUGCAGUUAAAACGCUCGUAGUCGGAUUUCGGAGCGGCUUCGUCGGUCUGCCGAUGGGUAUGCACUGACGCGGGCGUCCUUCCUUCCGGAGACGCGUCCUACUCUUAGCUGAGCGGGGCGUGGAGACGGAUCGUUUACUUUGAAAAAAUCAGAGUGUUUCAAGCAGGCAACAUCGCUCUUGCAUGGAUUAGCGUGGGAUAAUGAAAUAGGACCUUGGUGCUAUUUUGUUGGUUUCGAGCACCGAAGUAAUGAUUAACAGGGACAGUCAGGGGCUCUCGUAUUCCGCCGAGAGAGGUGAAAUUCUCAGACCAGCGGAAGACGAACCACUGCGAAAGCAUUUGCCAGGGAUGUUUUCACUGAUCAAGAACGAAAGUUAGGGGAUCGAAGACGAUCAGAUACCGUCGUAGUCUUAACCAUAAACCAUGCCGACUAGGGAUUGGAGGAUGUCCACUUUUGACUUCUUCAGCACCUUACGGGAAACUAAAGUCUUUGGGUUCCGGGGGGAGUAUGGUCGCAAGGCUGAAACUUAAAGGAAUUGAC
RNAcentral lists this ribosomal RNA (551 nucleotides) under Dicrateria rotunda. RNAcentral describes it as "SSU rRNA". It matches the Rfam family "Eukaryotic small subunit ribosomal RNA", at positions 602 to 1157 of the family's 1831-position model. Lineage: Eukaryota; Haptophyta; Isochrysidales; Isochrysidaceae. The record is from RNAcentral.